UACGUAGGGGGCUAGCGUUGUCCGGAUUUAUUGGGCGUAAAGAGCGUGUAGGCGGCCAGGUAGGUCUGCUGUGAAAACUCGAGGCUCAACCUCGAGACGUCGGCGGAAACCAUCUGGCUAGAGUCCGGAAGAGGAGAGUGGAAUUCCUGGUGUAGCGGUGAAAUGCGCAGAUAUCAGGAAGAACACCCGUGGCGAAGGCGGUUCUCUGGGCCUGACCUGACGCUGAGGAGCGAAAGCGUGGGGAGCGAACAGG
This 253-nucleotide ribosomal RNA is filed under the name uncultured bacterium. Its description in RNAcentral is "partial 16S ribosomal RNA". It matches the Rfam family "Bacterial small subunit ribosomal RNA", at positions 524 to 776 of the family's 1533-position model. The record is from RNAcentral.